Myzus persicae (green peach aphid) is the source of this 1714-nucleotide long non-coding RNA. RefSeq lists it as uncharacterized. The transcript has 3 exons. The record is from RefSeq and is a predicted model, not a curated record. Lineage: Eukaryota; Metazoa; Arthropoda; Insecta; Hemiptera; Aphididae.
AUCACUACGAUUAUCAAUUAUCAACACAAUUAAAGAUUUCUAAGCACAAGCAAGGUCUCGCAUUUUAAAUAAAGUUGCGAAGUUUUGGAUUUAAAAAAGUUAAUUAAUAAUUACUAAUUCAGUACUACCUCUGAAUUUACCUGGUAUAAUUAAAGAGGACAUAACCAAUACACAUAACUUUACAACUUCAUACGGUAGACAAUCUUGAAGAUUCUAUGGCCAUGGACGUCAGUAUUGAUGAAAGUAGUGAUUUUUCAGUCGGAAUAAGUGAAAGUGCAAUACAUAUAAACACGAGUGUGUCUGAUGAACUCAGAAAUGUUUCAGUUUUGAAUACUAGCUAUCACAAAUGUGUUGAAUGUUGUAUUAUUAUUAAUCAUAUUUUGUUUUUAGUUAUCAGUGGAGGUAUUUCAUUGUCUAAAUCUAAACACGGCAGAAAAAAAACUAAGUUGAAUGUGUGUUGGUAGAGAUCAAAAUGUAUAGAUAAAAAAAUUUAAUCACAUAUAAUAUACAAGCAAUACACAGAAGCUAGAACUCGAUUAAAAUGGCUGAUAAAUUUAUAAAUAUCAAUAAGAAGUCGUUGUGUGGACUAAAUCAGUUCACUAGAUAAUUCAUUGAAUCUCAAAAUCAAAUGCAAUCUCAGAAUCCUUUUUGAAGACAUUUAACUGUAGAUGAAAGAAUGCUUACAUUGUCUUUGUUCAAACAAAGUGGAAAAAUGUGUGAAACACUUUCAAAAGUCUUUCUUCUCGGAAAUGAAUCACAGAUUUAGAAAAAUUCCGUUUGAUAAAUAAAUUAAUAAAAUCAUAGUAUUUUAUUAUUUAAAAACUGCAGUAGAGAAAUUGAAAAAUAAACUAGAUCAUUUUUGUUCGGUAAUAUUUGAUGAAAUCUCAGUAUCUUCAUAAUUGCAGUUUAAAGAAGAAAUGGAAAACUAAUUGGAUUUGAAGACCUAACAAUAAUUGUUUACCAAACAUUUCUGAUACAGCACUUGUUUUUAUGGUUAGAGGACUCUGAAAAAUGUUUAAACAUCUAGUGGCUUUCUAUCUUACCAAUAGUAACACAAACAGUUUUAUCAAUUAUACUAAAAGAUGUUAGCUCCAUUCAAUGUUGCUCCUAUCAACCGGUUAAUAAAAUAAACUAGAGAAACUAGGUACUAAUCUUAAAAUAGAGGAACAAAUGAUGUAUUUGGUUUUAAAAUUAGAAGUCAAGAAAUAAUUCCACUCUUUGAUGUUCCACAUUUGCUUAAAGUUCUUAGAAAUAAUCUUUUAACUAAAGACUAAAAUUUCCUAUAUGAAAAUAAACAGUGUAAAACGCCGUGGAAUCAUCGCUCGAUUUUAUGAAUUUGAUAAAGAAUAAAGUACAGAAAAAGAAUGUCUUGUACCUAAGCUCUGUGACUCAUGUUUAACCAGAAAAAAAUAAAGAUGUCAAUUGCAGCCCAACCAUUCAGUCGGUGUGUUGAGCAAUCAUGAAAAAAAUGGCUAUAAUGACUAACACUUCACAUAACUUCAUCGAAGAACUGGUUGCAGUUGAAGUGAAUUCCUGCUCAUCUAGGAAAGUAACCAGCUGUAAAUACACAAAAAUAAAAAUACAAAAAUAUUUUAGUUUUUGAGCGGAACAAUGAAUGUAUUGAUUUGACAAUAAUAUUUGUUUUUUGUUAUUUUUAUUUUUUAUUUUUUGUGUCUGUACAUGAGUGUACACAUAGCAUUAUAUAUACGCCUUA